AUAACAAGUUGGCGAUGACAAAGGCCCAUGUGGCCGAGUUUGAAAGAACUAUUCACUUAACUGACC
This 66-nucleotide non-coding RNA is filed under the name unclassified sequences. Its description in RNAcentral is "DUF3800-II RNA". It matches the Rfam family "DUF3800-II RNA". The record is from Rfam by way of RNAcentral.